AAACUAACAAGGAUUCCCCUAGUAACUGCGAGUGAAGCGGGAAGAGCUCAAAUUUAAAAUCUGGCAGUCUUGCUGUCCGAGUUGUAAUCUGGAGAAGCAUUUUCCGCGUCAGACCGUGUACAAGUCUCUUGGAAUAGAGCGUCAUUGAGGGUGAUAAUCCCGUUCAUGACACGGACUACUGAUGCUUUGUGAUAUGCUUUCAAAGAGUCGAGUUGUUUGGGAAUGCAGCUCAAAUUGGGUGGUAAGUUCCAUCUAAAGCUAAAUAUUGGCGAGAGACCGAUAGCGAACAAGUACCGUGAGGGAAAGAUGAAAAGCACUUUGAAAAGAGAGUUAAACAGUACGUGAAAUUGUUGAAAGGGAAACGCUUGAAGUCAGUCGCGUUGAUUGAGACUCAGCCUUGCUGUGCUUGGUGUACUUCUCAUUUGACGGGUCAACAUCAAUUUUGGUUGAUGGAUAAAGGUGAGGGGAAUGUGGCACCUUCGGGUGUGUUAUAGCCCCUUGCUGCAUACAUUGACUGGGAUUGAGGAACGCAGCACGCCUUCAUGGCCGAGGGUUCGCCCUACGUAACGUGCUUAGGAUGUUGGCAUAAUGGCUUUAAGCGACCCGUCUUGAAACACGGACCAAGGAGUCUAACAUGCUUGCGAGUGUUAGGGUGGAAAACCCUUGCGCGUAAUUAAAGUGAAAGUUGGGACCCUCUCAAGGGGCACCGACGCCCGGCCCUGAAGUUUACUGACGGUGCUGCGGUAGAGCACGUAUGUUGGGACCCGAAAGAUGGUGAACUAUGCCUGAAUAGGGUGAAGCCAGGGGAAACCCUGGUGGAGGCUCGUAGCGAUUCUGACGUGCAAAUCGAUCGUCAAAUUUGGGUAUAGGGGCGAAAGACUAAUCGANCCNNNNNNNNNNNNNNNNNNNNN
RNAcentral lists this ribosomal RNA (911 nucleotides) under Xylodon asperus. RNAcentral describes it as "partial 25S ribosomal RNA". It matches the Rfam family "Eukaryotic large subunit ribosomal RNA", at positions 62 to 962 of the family's 3401-position model. The record is from RNAcentral. Lineage: Eukaryota; Fungi; Basidiomycota; Agaricomycetes; Hymenochaetales; Schizoporaceae.